GAUGAAGAACGCAGCGAAAUGCGAUACGUAAUGUGAAUUGCAGAUUUCAGUGAAUCAUCGAAUCUUUGAACGCACAUUGCGCCCGCCAGUAUUCUGGCGGGCAUGCCUGUUCGAGCGUCAUUUCAACCAUCAAGCCCCCGGCUUGUGUUGGGGACCUGCGGCUGCCGCAGGCCCUGAAAACCAGUGGCGGGCUCGCUAGUCACUCCGAGCGUAGUAGUUACAUCUCGCUCAGGGCGUGCUGCGGGUUCCGGCCGUUAAAAGCCUUAUUUACCCAAGGUUGACCUCGGAUCAGGUAGGAAGACCCGCUGAACUUAAGCAUAUCAAUAAGCGGAGGA
This 335-nucleotide unclassified non-coding RNA is filed under the name soil metagenome. RNAcentral describes it as "partial contains 5.8S ribosomal RNA, internal transcribed spacer 2, and large subunit ribosomal RNA". The stretch from base 1 to 120 matches the Rfam family "5.8S ribosomal RNA", at positions 35 to 154 of the family's 154-position model. The record is from RNAcentral.